AACGAACGCUGGCGGCAGGCCUAACACAUGCAAGUCGAACGCUCGUAGCAAUACGGGAGUGGCAGACGGGUGAGUAACACGUGGGAACCUUCCCUAUGGUUCGGAAUAGCUCAGGGAAACUUGGGGUAAUACCGGAUAAGCCCUUCGGGGAAAGGAUUUAUCGCCAUUGGAUGGGCCCGCCGUCGGAUUAGCUAGUUGGUGAGGUAACGGCUCACCAAGCCAACGAUCCGUAGCUGAUCUGAGAGGAUGAUCAGCCACACUGGGACUGAGACACGGCCCAGACUCCUACGGGAGGCAGCAGUAGGGAAUCUUGGACAAUGGGCGCAAGCCUGAUCCAGCCAUGCCGCGUGAGUGAAGAAGGCCUUCGGUUG
RNAcentral lists this ribosomal RNA (371 nucleotides) under uncultured bacterium. Its description in RNAcentral is "bacterial SSU rRNA". It matches the Rfam family "Bacterial small subunit ribosomal RNA", at positions 29 to 425 of the family's 1533-position model. The record is from RNAcentral.